Molecule: non-coding RNA, 302 nt
Organism: Microcebus murinus (gray mouse lemur)
Lineage: Eukaryota; Metazoa; Chordata; Mammalia; Primates; Cheirogaleidae
Source: RefSeq, a predicted model, not a curated record
CUUGAAGAAGUAGAAUGCCAAUAUGUGGGUUAUGGUCUAUCCAGAAGAGCUUCCUUACUUAAUACUCAUGAAAAUUAAUUUCCUGAAUCCUGAGAAAAUGUCAACUAUUCUUAUCAAUCUAUAUUUAUGUGUCUGGAAAUGUUACACUGAAUGACAGACAGUGUGACUGGCACAGGGAAUACAUAGCAACAUGGUCAAAUUAUCCUGGAUCGUUUAGGUGCCAUUACAAUGUGCUCACCCUGAGUCAAGAUUGUCAUUGGCUUUGUACCCGGCUGUGUCCCCAGUACCACUUGGCAUGUAAU